GGGACACGUUCUCUUGCAUGCUCACCAUCUUCAUCAGCAGGUCUGGCUGGGAGGGAUACCUGCAGCUCUUCCUAUCAGAUUCUCUCAGUUCAGUUGUACUGUUAGUGAGAUCAGAGGAGAAGUUUCAACAUCUUUCUCCAGUCUGGGACACAUAUGUUUGGGCCUCUUUCCCAUCUACGCUGGAAGUAAAUAUCUGGCCACAGAAGCUGAAGAACCACUAAGUAAGGAGGCUGCAGGCACAGUACACAGAAAUCAGCACCACCAUGCUUACUAUCCAAAAUGCAGGGGUAGAUAUUGCUUCCUUGUCUUGCAGAGACCCUAAAGGAUACUGAUUAAUAGCCACACCUGCGUACAGUCUGUCACUCAGAUCAGUGCAGCUAUGCACAUACUGCCUGUGGGGCCAGAAGCAUUGUAAGCCAGGUCCCCUCCCUUGCUCUCCCUCAUCUCCUGCACACCCCAUCCUGGAGCUCACAGAAGCUUGGCACCAGGCUGAGAUCCAGUAUGAAGGCACAGAAGACAGCCAGGGAUCUCAAGCUGCAAUACCAGCCCAAGUCUACAGCUAAUAUGAAAACAGCUGCAGCAAGCAAAGCCUGGAAUUCAGGCUUUCUUACACUGCAUUCAUCCAGAGUUAGUGCAAAAUGAUUCAUCUGUUCUUUUAUCUCUUCUUGUAAGAAACAUGUAAGACUGAUGUAUAGUUCACAGCCUAAGAACUAAAGAUAAAAU
This 723-nucleotide long non-coding RNA is filed under the name Numida meleagris (helmeted guineafowl). RNAcentral's name for it is "lncRNA (ENSNMEG00000001773.1)". Lineage: Eukaryota; Metazoa; Chordata; Aves; Galliformes; Numididae. The record is from RNAcentral.